UCGCGACCCCAGGUCAGACGGGAUGACCCGCUGAGU
RNAcentral lists this ribosomal RNA (36 nucleotides) under Pholisma arenarium (desert christmas tree). Its description in RNAcentral is "partial 26S ribosomal RNA". Lineage: Eukaryota; Viridiplantae; Streptophyta; Magnoliopsida; Boraginales; Lennoaceae. The record is from RNAcentral.